GAACGCAGUCUCCAGCUGUGUUUUCACAGAGACUGAGGCACGCGUAGCUGUGUCCACCGUGAAGAUGCCUGUGUUGUCUGUGCACGUAUCUUCAUUUGGAUGUCAUUUAUGCUACAUGAUGCACAUGAAUUAUGCUAAAAAUAUCAUUCUGAAAACAUAUCAGAGGCAAAUUGCCCCUUCGUGGUACGUACCCACGUUGCAGGGGGGACCCCUGCAGCCCGCGUUCUUCGUCCGUGCCUCAGAUGUGCGCCCAGAGGAACAACCGCACAGCCGGGUGUGCAAGCACCGCACGCCAGCUGCACUGCAGAGUCUGCCACCACAGGAACACCAGAUGUCGGUACCAUCACACGUAUCACACUGCCAAAAAUACAGUUUCUGAAACUGAAGAGUGAAAAGGAAUCCGGGCUUCAACCCAGGAGUCCAACUCCAUUUGCUCCCCAGUUUUCUUCUUACAGAAGCAGACAAAUCCUUGGUUUUGCCCGGCUGCUUUCUCCGUAGCACAUAACUCACGACAGAGGAAUCUCUCUCUGGCGCGGCACACGUUCAUAACUCCUUCCCUGGGCGGUCUCAGCAUGUGUUAAAGCAUAUUGUUUUCCAGUUUAAUCCUCUUAUCUUCCUUCAUGGUAAUCAGAUAUCAUAAUGAAAUGUUGUCUUCCCUAUGUUGUUAAUUAUUCAUGUCAUCAUUUUUCACUAGUAACUAAUGAAACAAAGACAGUACUAUUUAUCAUUUGCAAUAAAUAUAUAUCAAAAUCUGA
This is a long non-coding RNA of Rhea pennata, 755 nucleotides long. RefSeq lists it as uncharacterized. Lineage: Eukaryota; Metazoa; Chordata; Aves; Rheiformes; Rheidae. The transcript is spliced from 2 exons. The record is from RefSeq and is a predicted model, not a curated record.